ACAAUGCUGAACAGUAUGCUAGCAACAGAGGGGAACAACAGAAUGUGGCAAUGGACCUUAUAAACAAGUAUGUCCAGUGGCAGGAGGGUGACCUUGUACUUGAUGUAGGGUGUGGCACAGGAGAGGUCACUAAGCUCAUGGCCAAACAGACAGGGGUCAAGGCUGUGGUGGGAUUUGACCUGUCAGAAAACUUUAUCCGUUUUGCUACAGACCACAAUUCUACGGAGAACACAUCAUUUUACGUUGCCGAUGUGUCCGAUCCCGG
Molecule: long non-coding RNA, 265 nt
Organism: Branchiostoma floridae (Florida lancelet)
Lineage: Eukaryota; Metazoa; Chordata; Leptocardii; Amphioxiformes; Branchiostomatidae
Exons: 3
Source: RefSeq, a predicted model, not a curated record